This 435-nucleotide ribosomal RNA is filed under the name uncultured bacterium. RNAcentral's name for it is "partial 16S ribosomal RNA". It matches the Rfam family "Bacterial small subunit ribosomal RNA", at positions 28 to 507 of the family's 1533-position model. The record is from RNAcentral.
GAUGAACGCUGGCGGUAUGCUUAACACAUGCAAGUCGAACGGACUCUUCGGAGUUAGUGGCGGACGGGUGAGUAACGCGUGAGAAUCUGGCUUUGGGUUCGGGACAACCACUGGAAACGGUGGCUAAUACCGGAUGUGCCGAGAGGUAAAAGAGAAAUUGCCUGAAGAUGAGCUCGCGUCUGAUUAGCUAGUUGGUGAGGUAAAGGCUCACCAAGGCAGCGAUCAGUAGCUGGUCUGAGAGGAUGACCAGCCACACUGGGACUGAGACACGGCCCAGACUCCUACGGGAGGCAGCAGUGGGGAAUUUUCCGCAAUGGGCGAAAGCCUGACGGAGCAAUACCGCGUGAGGGAAGAAGGCUCUUGGGUUGUAAACCUCUUUUCUUUGGGAAGAACAAAAUGACGGUACCUAAGGAAUCAGCAUCGGCUAACUCCGUG